RNAcentral lists this long non-coding RNA (201 nucleotides) under Carica papaya (papaya). Its description in RNAcentral is "long non-coding RNA (CPAP_LNC014665)". The record is from RNAcentral. Lineage: Eukaryota; Viridiplantae; Streptophyta; Magnoliopsida; Brassicales; Caricaceae.
ACGACUAGUAAUACAGGAUAAUUAUGUAUUUGAUAGCAAUGUAACACAUGUUUAAAACGAGAAUUGGUAAAUUUUGUAUGCUACUACAUUGAUGCAUAUACAGUUGAGUAAUUUUUAAGAAUUGAGCAGUUGGUUUUCGGUACCUCCUUUAAGUGGAUCAUUGGAUGGGUUCAUAUAAUAACAUACAUGUAUUAUGUAUGC